Transfer RNA from Sphingomonas sp. Leaf17, 72 nucleotides. It matches the Rfam family "tRNA". Rfam says of the family: Transfer RNA (tRNA) molecules are approximately 80 nucleotides in length. Their secondary structure includes four short double-helical elements and three loops (D, anti-codon, and T loops). Lineage: Bacteria; Pseudomonadati; Pseudomonadota; Alphaproteobacteria; Sphingomonadales; Sphingomonadaceae. The record is from Rfam.
GGCCCCUUCGUCUAGCGGUUAGGACGACGCCCUCUCACGGCGUAAGCACGAGUUCGAUUCUCGUAGGGGUCA